This is a long non-coding RNA of Sphaeramia orbicularis (orbiculate cardinalfish), 1451 nucleotides long. RefSeq lists it as uncharacterized. The transcript has 2 exons. The record is from RefSeq and is a predicted model, not a curated record. Lineage: Eukaryota; Metazoa; Chordata; Actinopteri; Kurtiformes; Apogonidae.
GGUCAAAAAUGGUAAGGCUAUUGUAUGUGCAUCAAAAGUUGGAAUUUUGGGUAAUUUUCUAAAUUUCCACAAAAAGUGUUCUAGGUUAUUUAAAAUGGCCAUCUAGAGGUGUUUCAAGGUGUUUGGAACAUUUUUUCCAACGGUCAUAAACACCCCCCGGUGGUCAAAAAUGGUAAGGCUAUAGUAUGUGCAUCAAAAGUUGGAAUUUUGGAAAAUUUUCUAAUUUUGCACAAAAAGUGUUCUAGGUUAUUCAAAAUGGUCAUCUAGAGGUGUUUCAAGGUGUUUAGAAUUUCUUUUUCUGAAGGGUCAUCCAAGUGGUCAAAAAUGGUAAGGCUAUAGUAUGUGCAUCAGUAAUUGAAAUUUUUGGGAAAUUUUCCACAUUUCCAUAAAAAGUGUUCCAGACUGUGUAAAAUGGUCAUCUAGAGGUAUUUCAAGGUGUUUGGAAAUUUUUUUUGAGGGGUCAUCUAAGUGGUCAAAAGAUGGUAAGGCUAUAUAGUAUGUGCAUCAAAAAAUGACAUUUUUGGGAAAUUUUCCAAAUUUGAAUAAAAAGUUUUCUAGGUUAUUUAAAAUGGCUAUCUAGAGGUGUUUCAAGGUGUUUGGAACAUUUUUUCCAACUGUCAUCAACACCCCUCUGUGGUCAAAAAAUGGUAAGGCUGUGUAGUAUGUGCAUCAAAAAUGAGAAUUUUGGGAAAUUUUCCAAAUUUGCAUAAAAAGUGUUCUAGGUUAUUCAAAAUGGCCAUCUAGAGGUGUUUCAAGGUGUUUGGAACAUUUUUUCCAACGGUCAUCAACACCCCCCGGUGGUCAAAAAUGGUAAGACUAUAGUAUGUGCAUCAGUAAUUGAAAUUUUCGGGAAAUUUUCCACAUUUCCAUAAAACGUGUUCAAGGUUAAUUAAAAUGGCCAUCUAGAGGUAUUUCAAGGUGUUUGGAGUUUUUUUUUUUUUUUUUUGAAGGGUCAUCCAAGUGGUCAAAAAUGGUAAGGCUAUUGUAUGUGCAUCAAAAGUUGGAAUUUUGGGUAAUUUUCUAAAUUUCCACAAAAAGUGUUCUAGGUUAUUUAAAAUGGCCAUCUAGAGGUGUUUCAAGGUGUUUGGAACAUUUUUUCCAACGGUCAUAAACACCCCCCGGUGGUCAAAAAUGGUAAGGCUAUAGUAUGUGCAUCAAAAGUUGGAAUUUUGGAAAAUUUUCUAAUUUUGCACAAAAAGUGUUCUAGGUUAUUCAAAAUGGUCAUCUAGAGGUGUUUCAAGGUGUUUGGAACAUUUUUUCCAACUGUCAUCAACACCCCUCUGUGGUCAAAAAAUGGUAAGGCUGUGUAGUAUGUGCAUCAAAAAUGAGAAUUUUGGGAAAUUUUCCAAAUUUGCAUAAAAAGUGUUCUAGGUUAUUCAAAAUGGCCAUCUAGAGGUGUUUCAAGGUGUUUGGAACAUUUUUUCCAACGGUCAUCAACACCCCCCGGUGGU